This 429-nucleotide ribosomal RNA is filed under the name bacterium. RNAcentral's name for it is "partial 16S ribosomal RNA". It matches the Rfam family "Bacterial small subunit ribosomal RNA", at positions 355 to 776 of the family's 1533-position model. The record is from RNAcentral.
UAGGGAAUCUUCGGCAAUGGGGGCAACCCUGACCGAGCAACGCCGCGUGAGUGAAGAAGGUUUUCGGUUCGUAAAGCUCUGUUGUAAGAGAAGAACGUGUGUGAGAGUGGAAAGUUCACACAGUGACGGUAACUUACCAGAAAGGGACGGCUAACUACGUGCCAGCAGCCGCGGUAAUACGUAGGUCCCGAGCGUUGUCCUGAUUUAUUGGGCGUAAAGCGAGCGCAGGCGGUUUAAUAAGUCUGAAGUUAAAGGCAGUGGCUUAACCAUUGUUCGCUUUGGAAACUGUUAAACUUGAGUGCAGAAGGGGAGAGUGGAAUUCCAUGUGUAGCGGUGAAAUGCGUAGAUAUAUGGAGGAACACCGGUGGCGAAAGCGGCUCUCUGGUCUGUAACUGACGCUGAGGCUCGAAAGCGUGGGGAGCAAACAGG